GUAGAAAUGCCAGAGUUGUACAUGGGACUGGUUUAGGACUAGUUUACGGUCAUUCGACCUUUUUACU
Molecule: transfer RNA, 67 nt
Filed under: Rhinebothrium reydai
Lineage: Eukaryota; Metazoa; Platyhelminthes; Cestoda; Rhinebothriidea; Rhinebothriidae
Description: tRNA-Leu
Source: RNAcentral